RNAcentral lists this long non-coding RNA (333 nucleotides) under Cyanistes caeruleus (blue tit). RNAcentral's name for it is "lncRNA (ENSCCEG00000005150.1)". The record is from RNAcentral. Lineage: Eukaryota; Metazoa; Chordata; Aves; Passeriformes; Paridae.
UCAUUACCUGCCUUGUGCCCCUGACUCACCUGUGCCCUAUCAAAUGCUUAUGAGCAUCCUCAGUGUCCUCCAAGUCUUCUCAUGCACUUGCAAGGAGCCUGUGUCCAGCAGGGCUUCAAAGGAGACUGUAAGAAACAGAGAACAAAGACAGAUGAGAGUCUCCUUGGAAGCUGAGGAAACUGGAAUGUCUUGGGUUUGGCAUAUGACACCAAAAAUCUGCAAACUUUAAAGGCUCUAUUGAGAAUCCAUGGGCUUCCAUGGUCAGGACAAGAAGCUGAUGGUUCUAAGGUUUGUCUUUCCCUCAUACUGGAGCUAAGAUUGGGGCAAUUCUAA